GUACACAACCUAAAUCGGGCAUUUGAUUUGAAAUCAGAUUGAUUGUUUUUGAUAACAAUGUGAGUU
Molecule: transfer RNA, 66 nt
Filed under: Echeneibothrium williamsi
Lineage: Eukaryota; Metazoa; Platyhelminthes; Cestoda; Rhinebothriidea; Echeneibothriidae
Description: tRNA-Ser
Source: RNAcentral